GACAGAGGUGCCAAGCGUUAGGCGGAAUCACUGGGCUUAAAGCGUGUGUAGGCAGAUCGUUAAGUACCUCGUGAAAUCCCACGGCUCAACCGUGGAACUGCUGGGUAUACUGGCGAUCUUGAGCCACCUAGGGGCGAGCGGAACAAACGGUGGAGCGGUGAAAUGCGUAGAUAUCGUUUGGAACGCCAACGGUGAAAACAGCUCGCUGGGGGUGUGCUGACGCUGAGACACGAAAGCCAGGGGAGCGAACGGG
This 253-nucleotide ribosomal RNA is filed under the name uncultured bacterium. Its description in RNAcentral is "partial 16S ribosomal RNA". It matches the Rfam family "Bacterial small subunit ribosomal RNA", at positions 524 to 776 of the family's 1533-position model. The record is from RNAcentral.